CGCCGGUGGCUAUCUGGCCCUGGUGGGGAGCUUCCCGGAAACGAAAGUCUUCCGGUUCCGGGGGAAGUAUGGUUGCAAAGCUGAAACUUAAAGGAAUUGACGGAAGGGCACCACCAGGAGUGGAGCCUGCGGCUUAAUUUGACUCAACACGGGAAAACUCACCCGGCCCGGACACCGUGAGGAUUGACAGAUUGAUAGCUUUUUCAUGAUUCGGUGGUUGGUGGUGCAUGGCCGUUCUUAGUUCGUGGAUCGAUUUGUCUGGUUUAUUCCGAUAACGAGCGAGACUCCAGCCUACUAAAUAGUGCGGGCAUUGCUUCUGUGCCUCGCACUUCUUAGAGGGAUUGGCUGCGUCUAGCGGCACGAAACGGAGCAAUAACAGGUCUGUGAUGCCCUUAAAUGUCCGGGGCUGCACGCGCGCUACACUGGCAAAGGCAGCGUGCUUGUCCAUCUCCGAAAGGAGCUGGUAAACCCUUGAAAAUUUGCCGUGAUUGGGAUCGGAAAUUGCAAUUAUUUUCCGUGAACGAGG
This 526-nucleotide ribosomal RNA is filed under the name Criconema arkaense. RNAcentral describes it as "SSU rRNA". It matches the Rfam family "Eukaryotic small subunit ribosomal RNA", at positions 1055 to 1608 of the family's 1831-position model. Lineage: Eukaryota; Metazoa; Nematoda; Chromadorea; Rhabditida; Criconematidae. The record is from RNAcentral.